UCUGCAGUUAAUUAAAAAUGACGAGAAUUAAGCACACAACAGAUGAGGAUAUAAAGUACAGAUCAGCUUGAUCCCCCAGCAUGAAAAUGCAUUUUAUUUUAUCCCUUUAGCAGAAGAGGGAUUUUUGUCUCCACAUACGGGCUAUAGCAACGUGGCUGGAAAAUUUCCAUUGUCUUUAAUUAAAACAGUGUGAUUACGUUUUCCUUUCUGCAGCCUGCACAGACCCUGACUCAGCUUAGAAUUAGGUGCAGGUGGUCUGAGUGCAGCAGUAAUCAGGGCUGGAUCUGGCACCUAGAUAGCCUGGUACAAAAACCCUCGGGUCAAACCCACCUAAUCUGGAGAUAUGUUGUUAUUGCAAGGCUAACAUGUAGUGUUCCAGUUUUGCUAAGAGGAAGAUGAUUUUGCUAGGAAGAAAAACAUGGUUUGUGCCUGUUGUAGGAUGACCUGCAGGAGUGAAGCAUGAAGGUUCAGUGCAAGAGAAUGUGUGAUAGUUAAUCUCUUCCCAAACACCCUGACCUUGGAUAAUACACAAGACUGCAAGGAGAGCAGCCCUGCACCUGGUGUUUAAGGUUAAAUAGGUCCAUGUGAAGCCACAAUCAAUUUGUUACCUACUCCAUACACUCACCUGUGUAAUUGUGCAGAGGUUUGGAAGGCUCCUGGCACAUGUCAAGAAUCUCAUUAGUGGUGCUGAUGUCUUCUGCCUCUGGCUGUACCUCAUCAGGUCUGGCACCUUCAGGAUUUUCAUCUGAUUACAUGCACUCACCUGGAAUCUGCAAGUCCUGCCUACACCCUGCUUGUUUCUUUCAUGUUCAAUUGCUCUUGGAUAAAAACACAAGGACCAGGUAGCAAAUACGUUAUCAAAAGAUGGCCAUCCUGGCAUGAGAAUGUAACUACCGCAAUGCUUC
This 905-nucleotide long non-coding RNA is filed under the name Coturnix japonica (Japanese quail). RNAcentral describes it as "lncRNA (ENSCJPG00005004518.1)". The record is from RNAcentral. Lineage: Eukaryota; Metazoa; Chordata; Aves; Galliformes; Phasianidae.